UACGUAGGUGGCAAGCGUUGUCCGGAUUUACUGGGCGUAAAGAGCGCGCAGGCGGUCGUUCAAGUCGCGUGUGAAAGCCCCCGGCUCAACUGGGGAGGGUCACGCGAUACUGAUCGACUCGAAGGCAGGAGAGGGUAGUGGAAUUCCCGGUGUAGUGGUGAAAUGCGUAGAUAUCGGGAGGAACACCAGUGGCGAAGGCGGGUCUCUGGGCCGAUAUUGACGCUGAGGAGCGAAAGCGUGGGGAGCGAACAGG
This 253-nucleotide ribosomal RNA is filed under the name uncultured bacterium. Its description in RNAcentral is "partial 16S ribosomal RNA". It matches the Rfam family "Bacterial small subunit ribosomal RNA", at positions 524 to 776 of the family's 1533-position model. The record is from RNAcentral.